This 22-nucleotide non-coding RNA is filed under the name Oryctolagus cuniculus (rabbit). Its record names the gene ocu-miR-350-5p. The record is from miRBase by way of RNAcentral. Lineage: Eukaryota; Metazoa; Chordata; Mammalia; Lagomorpha; Leporidae. RNAcentral also lists the same sequence under 3 other names.
AAAGUGCAUGCGCUUUGGGACA